Molecule: ribosomal RNA, 280 nt
Filed under: Talaromyces ruber
Lineage: Eukaryota; Fungi; Ascomycota; Eurotiomycetes; Eurotiales; Trichocomaceae
Description: partial large subunit ribosomal RNA
Rfam family: Eukaryotic large subunit ribosomal RNA
Source: RNAcentral
GAGUGAUCGAAAGAUGAAAAGCACUUUGAAAAGAGAGUCAAACAGCACGUGAAAUUGUUGAAAGGGAAGCGUUGGCCCCCAGACGCGCCCGGGAGGGCUCAGCCGGCACGUGUGCCGGUGUACUCUCUCCCGGGCGGGCCAGCAUCGGUUUGGGCGGUCGCUGAAAGGCCCCGGGAAUGUAGCACCCUCCGGGGUGCCUUAUAGCCCGGGGCGGCAUGCGGCCCGCCGGGACCGAGGCCCGCGCUUCGGCGAGGAUGCUGGCGUAAUGGGGGUUWWCGGC